This 497-nucleotide ribosomal RNA is filed under the name uncultured bacterium. Its description in RNAcentral is "partial 16S ribosomal RNA". It matches the Rfam family "Bacterial small subunit ribosomal RNA", at positions 28 to 507 of the family's 1533-position model. The record is from RNAcentral.
GAUGAACGCUGGCGGCGUGCCUAAUACAUGCAAGUCGAGCGGACGGACGAGAAGCUUGCUUCUCUGAUGUUAGCGGCGGACGGGUGAGUAACACGUGUAUAACCUACCUAUAAGACUGGGAUAACUUCGGGAAACCGUAUCUAAUACCGGAUAAUAUUUUGAACCGCAUGGUUCAAAAGUGAAAGACGGUCUUGCUGUCACUUAUAGAUGGAUCCGCGCUGCAUUAGCUAGUUGGUAAGGUAACGGCUUACCAAGGCGACGAUGCAUAGCCGACCUGAGAGGGUGAUCGGCCACACUGGAACUGAGACACGGUCCAGACUCCUACGGGAGGCAGCAGUAGGGAAUCUUCCGCAAUGGGCGAAAGCCUGACGGAGCCACGCCGCGUGAGUGAAGAAGGUCUUCGGAUCGUAAAACUCUGUUAUUAGGGAAGAACAUAUGUGUAAGUAACUGUGCACAUCUUGACGGUACCUACUCAGAAAGCCACGGCUAACUACGUG